Molecule: ribosomal RNA, 300 nt
Filed under: uncultured Bacillus sp.
Lineage: Bacteria; Bacillati; Bacillota; Bacilli; Caryophanales; Bacillaceae
Description: bacterial SSU rRNA
Rfam family: Bacterial small subunit ribosomal RNA (bases 52-300)
Source: RNAcentral
GGUAACGCGGGGGAAGGCGGAGUGGUAAGACGAAGGGGGCAAACGUGGAUCGGAAUUAGGGGGCGGAAGACGAACGUAGGCGGCUUAGAGAGGCCCAGGGGAAAUCCCACGGCUUAACCGUGGAAGGGCAUGGGAAACUGCUGAGCUUGAGUACUGAAGAGGAUCGCGGAAUUCCCGGUGUAGAGGUGAAAUUCGUAGAUAUCGGGAGGAACACCAGUGGCGAAGGCGGCGAUCUGGGAAGAUACUGACGCUGAGGUACGAAAGCGUGGGGAGCAAACAGGAUUAGAUACCCCUGUAGUC